Musa acuminata subsp. malaccensis (wild Malaysian banana) is the source of this 1710-nucleotide non-coding RNA. Lineage: Eukaryota; Viridiplantae; Streptophyta; Magnoliopsida; Zingiberales; Musaceae. The record is from RefSeq and is a predicted model, not a curated record.
UUGUUCUUCUCGUCCUUACCCUUUUGUCUCGUCAUCGGCCUCCGGUGAAGGAAAACCCUCUUCCAAUGCCGUUCUUCUCCUUCCACUACAUUAAUUACCUUUCUAUUUGUCGGCCGCUCGGUGCCGGUCAUUGUCGUUCUUCGUCCGGUCAUUAUGACGCCGCGCAAUCCCUUUUCUUUACUUCCCUUCCUUCUCUUUUGUUGCCUUCCUGUUCCGAAACGAAAAUUUCAAGCAGGAAUCCCCCGACCUGCCUUUCUCGCGUGCAUCCCCUCUUCAUCCUAUUUGCCUUUCCCGUCUCCUCCUCCCUGGUCCUGGGGUUUCUUACUUCUUGUUGGUCGAGGGUUUGACGUAAGGGAUGGAUCCCGGGGAAGGAAACGGCGAGAAGAGGGCGCUCGACGGGGAAGAUCUUGUCUCGAACAAGAAGCUGAGGAAGAACCGUUUCCAUGUGCGGGUCCUCCAAGAUGCCUUCUAUGGUUCGUGAGAUCUGAAUAUUUAUUGUGCAUCUCGAGUGGUGGGUCUUCGAUCGGUUUGUCUUCGAUGCGAAUUCUUGGUUGGGAUUUCAGUUAGUGGAACGGGGCACAGCACCCGUCUGCUGCGAAGAAGGCGGAGCUUGCUGACCAGACCGGGCUCACGCUCGAACAGAUGCAGGCGUGGUUUGCCAUUAGGAGGGCCUACGAUAGCUGCAGACCGUGGCAGAGGAAACCCUCGGAUGAGAAUUCCAUUGAUGAUCCAAUGGAAGGUGCGAUUGUCCUUUCUUUGCCUGCCCCCAUGAUUAAGUCGAGAUGGUUGCCGGUAAGGCCACCGCAGGUGAUUGGUCGUUGACCGCUUCAACAAGUGGGACACAGUUGCCUCCUCCAUCAGAUGACAUGCAAGGUGGGAGUUGGGCCAAUAGCCUCGUCAUACUUUCUACCGUCUAAUAGAUGGGUUAAUAAACAAAAAGAAUACGUUUCAAGUUGGGUGUUGUAAACUCGAGAGGAAAGCACGAUUGUGACCUCGAACACUUGUUCGUCAGAGUGGGGAACUGCUGCAGAAGUUUUCCGGCACCUUUUACGAUUCCAUUUCUCAUUGACAUCGUUGCCUAUGCAGUUUUGUGGUCCUCUGCUUAUCCAUCAUUUCAGUACCUGCCUUUUCCUAUUGUGUCAUUUGAAAAGAUUACUAGAAUUGAUGAAUGCCACAACUGUUAUCCUUAAUAGCACUUAAUCACUUGUUUUCAGAUGGAAUUAGUGGUUUUUAAAUUAAGAUCCACAAGAUGGUAUAUACAUAUAUAUAACAGAUCCUUCUAUCAACCUACUUCCCAGGAUUUAUUAUUUAUUCAUUUAUUUUUUCAUUUGUGAAGGUGAAAAGGAACAAGGUAGUGUGCUCCGAAGAACAAUGUGCAGAAGGAUAAAUCUGACUGUUGACAACCGAGUGGGAGAAAUAGGAGGCAGUAGUAACUUGGGGUCUUGGAAAAGCAUCAAGUGGUGGAAAAGAUGUGGAAAGUUGGAGCUAAUCCUGGGGCAAAGCGUGGAGAAUAUACUAGGCUUACAAACACUCCAAACGCUACAUUCCAAGCUGCUACGUAGUAAAACAAAGCUUUGGAGCGAAGCAGUGGCAUCAGAAUCCCCAGGAUAAUAUCCAAGCCUUGUACUAAAGUCAGCUCACAAGCCGACGAUUCCCCACCCUUCAAAAAAUUCACUCCUCUCUCUCUCUCUCUCUCUCUCUCUCUCUCUC